AUAUUGGUCAAUGGCCGCAGGGCUGAACCAGCCAAGUCGCGUGAGGGAUGACGGUCCGAUGGAUUGUAAACCUCUUUUGUCAGGGAGCAAAGGGCGCCACGUGUGGCGUUUUGCGAGUACCCGACGAAAAAGCAUCGGCUAACUCCGUGCCAGCAGCCGCCGUAAUACAGAGGAUGCGAGCGUUAUCCGGAUUUAUUGGGUUUAAAGGGUGCGCAGGCGGAGGUGCAAGUCAGCGGUCAAAUUGCGGGGCUCAACCCCGUACUGCCGUUGAAACUGCAUCCCUUGAGUGCGCGAGAAGUAUGCGGAAUGCGUGGUGUAGCGGUGAAAUGCAUAGAUAUCACGCAGAACUCCGAUUGCGAAGGCAGCAUACCGGCGCGCAACUGACGCUCAUGCACGAAAGCGUGGGUAUCGAACAGG
This 417-nucleotide ribosomal RNA is filed under the name uncultured bacterium. Its description in RNAcentral is "bacterial SSU rRNA". It matches the Rfam family "Bacterial small subunit ribosomal RNA", at positions 361 to 776 of the family's 1533-position model. The record is from RNAcentral.